RNAcentral lists this ribosomal RNA (251 nucleotides) under uncultured bacterium. RNAcentral's name for it is "partial 16S ribosomal RNA". It matches the Rfam family "Bacterial small subunit ribosomal RNA", at positions 524 to 774 of the family's 1533-position model. The record is from RNAcentral.
UACGUAGGGGGCAAGCGUUAUCCGGAUUUACUGGGUGUAAAGGGAGCGCAGGCGGCAUGAUAAGUCUGAUGUGAAAACCCAAGGCUCAACCAUGGGACUGCAUUGGAAACUGUCGUGCUGGAGUGUCGGAGAGGUAAGCGGAAUUCCUAGUGUAGCGGUGAAAUGCGUAGAUAUUAGGAGGAACACCAGUGGCGAAGGCGGCUUACUGGACGAUGACUGACGCUGAGGCUCGAAAGCGUGGGGAGCAAACA